UACGUAGGUGGCAAGCGUUGUCCGGAAUUAUUGGGCGUAAAGCGCGCGUAGGCGGCUACCUAAGUCGGAUGUGAAAGCCCCUGGCUUAACCGGGGAAGUGCACCCGAAACUGGGUAGCUAGAGUGCAAAAGAGGGUCGCGGAAUUCCCAGUGUAGAGGUGAAAUUCGUAGAUAUUGGGAGGAACACCGGUGGCGAAGGCGGCGACCUGGGUUGACACUGACGCUCAUGCACGAAAGCGUGGGGAGCAAACAGG
Molecule: ribosomal RNA, 253 nt
Filed under: uncultured bacterium
Lineage: Bacteria
Description: partial 16S ribosomal RNA
Rfam family: Bacterial small subunit ribosomal RNA
Source: RNAcentral